RNAcentral lists this long non-coding RNA (1370 nucleotides) under Marmota monax (woodchuck). Lineage: Eukaryota; Metazoa; Chordata; Mammalia; Rodentia; Sciuridae. The record is from RNAcentral.
UAUAUAAAAAUGUUUAGGGAUAUGGCUCAGUGGUUUAGGGAUGUGGCUCAGUUCAAUCCCUAGAACGCCCCCAAAAAUACCUUUGAUAAUGUCUCAACAGAUAUCCCUGCCAAUGCCCACCUGCUCCCUGUCCCUGCACAAGACCACAGACAGGUACACUCUCUUUCCCCAAGCAAUUCCCUCUUGCCUUCUUCACCACCACCAGUGACAGACAGCCCUGCUCUGGCACCAGCCCUGUCCCCUAACUCCUGAAUGGUUCCAAGCAGCAUCUGGUAGGUUGCCCUGCCGUCCAUCUGUCUGCUCCACUGUCUAGUUGUGCCAGGGUGGUGGGCAAGGUUGCCCAGAGACCAAAGAAAAUGCCCAGCGACAGCGUAGAGGUCAUUAGGCUGAUUUGAGAAACCAUUAUGGGGACGGUCCAGGGGCCCCAGGCUGGCAGCUCCCUGGUGCCCACCCUGCUCCCCCAACCACAGCGCUUCUUCCUCCUGGUUUUUGGGCCAGUGGUGGCUGCUGGUGAGUGACACAGAUCCUUUCCACCGUGCCCUCAGUCUGCACCUCUUGACAUCCAGAGAGAGGUUAAUAUGCCAGGCUCCCUCCGAAGCAGUGGCACCAUCGGCGUUAGCCGGCUUGAUUUGCAGGAACAGCACCCCAAGGGGCAGUGCCAGGCUCAUGUGCAGACAGCCACUUGCUGCAGGUCACAGGGCUGCCCCUCAUUCCCCGGAGAGAAAGCCAGUGUCCCUGCGAUAGUGUGCAGCUGGUCAUCCUGGCCUGGGGGGCUCUCAAGGGUCCCUUCACUCAUUUAGGAUUUGGGGGACAAGAGGGGACAUUCAGGGACAUGGUGUCCUUCUGCCCCCUUUGCUUUAGGAAUGACACACCUCUUUUACAAGGUUGCUUUGAUGUCACUGGUCGGAUAGGACAAUAAGCAAACACCACAAGCACCAAACACACCAUAGAAGGAAAACACCACACGCACACGCACACACGCACACACACACGCACACAUGCACACACGUGCGCGAAUACAUGCACACACAUAUACGCACACACACUCACAUGCACACACGCACACACAAGCACACACAGAGGCCAGCUCCGCCUGGCUGGAGCAUUUCUCCUACAGUCAUGUUUACCUGGUGGCAUCCCAGCGUCCCUGCCUUACAGACAACCCUGGCCUCAAUUUGAAUCACAAUAAGUUGAGUGAUUUCUUUAAAAAACAAAACAAAACAAUCUAAUAUGAGGCACCCACCACCUCCUGGAGCCAGUACUCAGGGGACCUUACCUGCCUGCAGUUAAGGCUUCGUCUUUGUCUGUGGACACUGUGUCACUUCCUGAGUCACAGCGGGUGGGCAGUGGGAAGGCAGAGCCAGGUCUCA